GACAGAUUUGGUCCUAAUCUUAUUAUCAGCUUAUACUUAACUUACACAUGCAAGUCUCCGCAACCCAGUGAGAACACCCUUAAACCUUCAAUAGGAUAAGGAGUUGAUAUCAGGCACAGAUACCUAGCCCACAACAUCUAGCCUCGCCACACCCCCAAGGGUAUUCAGCAGUGAUUAACAUUGAACAUAAGCGUCAGCUUGAUUCAGUUAAAGUACAAUAGUGCCGGCUAACACGGUGCCAGCCGCCGCGGCUACACCGCUGGACACAAGUUGAUAAUUUCCGGCGUUAAGCGUGUUUUAAGUAAAUUUGAACUAGAGUUAAAUAAUCAGUACAGACGUUAAAAUCUUACUUCUUAGAAACCCAAAAACGAAAGUUACUCUAACUAAACACUUGAAUCCACGACAGCUGAGACACAAACUGGGAUUUGAUACCCCACUAUGCCCAGCCGUAAAACAUUAACUUACACUAUAAAUCGCCCGAGAACUACGAGCACACGCUUAAAACUCAAAGGACUUGACGGUGUCCCACCCAACUAGAGGAGCCUGUUCUAUAAUCGAUAAUCCCCGAUAAACCUCACCACUUCUAGCCCAUCAGUCUGUAUACCUCCGUCGAAAGCUUACCCUGUGAACGAUCAUUAGUAAGCAGUAAGGUCUAUCCACCAAAACGUCAGGUCAAGGUGCAGCUUACGAAGUGGGAAGAAAUGGGCUACAAUUUCUAAACUAGAACAAACGAAAAGAUCUGCAUGAAACACAGUCAUGAAGGCGGAUUUAGUAGUAAAAAGAAAAUAGAGUGUUCUUUUUAACCGAGCACUGGGACGUGUACACACCGCCCGUCAUCCUCUUCAAUAACAAUACAACAUGUCUAUAACACGCUAACGAACAUAAGAAGAGGCAAGUCGUAACAUGGUAAGUAUACUGGAAAGUGUACUUGGAAUAA
This 937-nucleotide non-coding RNA is filed under the name Leptopelis vermiculatus (vermiculated tree frog). Its description in RNAcentral is "12S ribosomal RNA". It matches the Rfam family "Bacterial small subunit ribosomal RNA". The record is from RNAcentral. Lineage: Eukaryota; Metazoa; Chordata; Amphibia; Anura; Arthroleptidae.